RNAcentral lists this ribosomal RNA (468 nucleotides) under uncultured bacterium. RNAcentral's name for it is "partial 16S ribosomal RNA". It matches the Rfam family "Bacterial small subunit ribosomal RNA", at positions 28 to 507 of the family's 1533-position model. The record is from RNAcentral.
GACGAACGCUGGCGGCGCGCCUAACACAUGCAAGUCGAACGGAGCUGCGAGAAGCUUGCUUUUCUUAGCUUAGUGGCGAACGGGUGAGUAACGCGUGAGUAACCUGCCCUGGAGUGGGGGACAACAGUUGGAAACGACUGCUAAUACCGCAUAAGCCCACGAUCCGGCAUCGGAUUGAGGGAAAAGGAUUUAUUCGCUUCAGGAUGGACUCGCGUCCAAUUAGCUAGUUGGUGAGGUAACGGCCCACCAAGGCGACGAUUGGUAGCCGGACUGAGAGGUUGAGCGGCCACAUUGGGACUGAGACACGGCCCAGACUCCUACGGGAGGCAGCAGUGGGGGAUAUUGCACAAUGGGGGAAACCCUGAUGCAGCGACGCCGCGUGGAGGAAGAAGGUUUUCGGAUUGUAAACUCCUGUCGUUAGGGACGAUAAUGACGGUACCUAACAAGAAAGCACCGGCUAACUACGUG